GCUUUUUAGUGAACACCGCAGCAAAUAAAGCUACCAAGAUGCAGUCUUUCCAAGAUGUAAGUUUAUGUAGUUCUAUACGAAGACAAGUGAGAGGCGCUGUAGGGCUCUGUAGAAAGCCAAAGCAAAAGGGGAGGAGCGGUAUCGGGGAGUAAAGUAGCCACACGGUGUGUCUGUCCCACCAGGCAUUCGCUCGAAUCUAACCAACCGACGCUGAGCAGGGAUCGGAUAAAGACGCGUUCUGUGGCAUCUGCCAAAACUCCCGACCACUCCGCUCACAAUUGUCAACGGAGAGACAGUAGCCCGCAAACAGCGGACACCUGACAGGCAACAGAAGGGAUAAAGCAAGAGGCAACAUAAUACAUUUAGCCGUAAAAUGCAACAGUCUUUGUUGGAUUAAAACAUCAUUCAAAGAUAAGCGUCGUAUAGGCAGUGAAACAAGGACGAACGCCGGUGCUGAAGCUGAACUGCGACUAGGGAGGUGUAGACGGGAAUACUCAAAAGAUCGAAUUUGUCUGAUGAGAAUCGCCAUCCACCAGAGACCUAAGGGCCUGCUCCACUCCUUCUCCGACAGCUGAAAGUGUUCAUUUGGUAAUCACCCCGGUAAUUACUUCGAAUCUGAACCUAAACUAUACCGAAACUAAUUUCACACCAUACUGUAUAACAACAGAUGAAAUACAUUAAGUAAAGUAUGAUGGGGAGAAUGGGUGAGUUGAUGAGCGUGGGGAACGAUGAUGCAUAAUUAUGUAAUCACCAAUUGUGAAAUUUAACCAUUCUAAUUAUAAUCUUAAAAUGGUGUGUACCCAAUAUCAGUCCACCGAAUCCAAGCAGUCUUAUCAGUCUACGCUGACCUACUUGGAGCAGGCUAAACAGUG
RNAcentral lists this long non-coding RNA (872 nucleotides) under Salmo salar (Atlantic salmon). Its description in RNAcentral is "lncRNA (ENSSSAG00000084442.1)". The record is from RNAcentral. Lineage: Eukaryota; Metazoa; Chordata; Actinopteri; Salmoniformes; Salmonidae.